GAAAUAGGUAACUCAAGAAUAAGCUUCUAACUUAAUUCUUUAGCGAUGGGAUUCGUUAGUAUUUCU
RNAcentral lists this transfer RNA (66 nucleotides) under Bisnius sordidus. Its description in RNAcentral is "tRNA-Ser". Lineage: Eukaryota; Metazoa; Arthropoda; Insecta; Coleoptera; Staphylinidae. The record is from RNAcentral.